GAUGAACGCUGGCGGCGUGCUUAACACAUGCAAGUCGAACGGGAAGGCCCAAGCUUGCUUGGGUACUCGAGUGGCGAACGGGUGAGUAACACGUGGGUGAUCUGCCCUGCACUUCGGGAUAAGCCUGGGAAACUGGGUCUAAUACCGGAUAGGACCACAUUUUGGAUGGUGUGGUGGAAAGUUUUUCGGUGUGGGAUGAGCUCGCGGCCUAUCAGCUUGUUGGUGGGGUAAUGGCCUACCAAGGCGUCGACGGGUAGCCGGCCUGAGAGGGUGUACGGCCACAUUGGGACUGAGAUACGGCCCAGACGCCUACGGGAGGCAGCAGUGGGGAAUAUUGCACAAUGGGCGCAAGCCUGAUGCAGCGACGCCGCGGGGGGGAUGACGGCCUUCGGGUUGUAAACUCCUUUCGCUAGGGACGAAGCGUUAUGUGACGGUACCUGGAGAAGAAGCACCGGCUAACUACGUG
RNAcentral lists this ribosomal RNA (466 nucleotides) under uncultured bacterium. RNAcentral describes it as "partial 16S ribosomal RNA". It matches the Rfam family "Bacterial small subunit ribosomal RNA", at positions 28 to 507 of the family's 1533-position model. The record is from RNAcentral.